GAGAAUGUGGAUUAUAUGAUUCAGGAGCUCCGAAGACCCAAAUACACUAUAUAUUUCAUUUAUUUCAGUAAUGUGAUCAGCAAGAGUGACGUGAAGUCAUUGGCUGAAGCUGAUGAACAGGAAGUUGUGGCUGAGGUUCAGGAAUUUUAUGGUGAUUACAUUGCUGUGAACCCACAUUUGUUUUCCCUCAAUAUUUUGGGUUGCUGCCAGGUAUGGAAGGAAAGGUUUAAUUUAUCAGUCGAGGGUUAAUUCAGCAAAUAAUUAGACUUGUAAGAGAAAAUUCAAAUAUUUUCUCUGAAUAUAUGUUUUUAACAAA
RNAcentral lists this small RNA (316 nucleotides) under Pan troglodytes (chimpanzee). Its description in RNAcentral is "retained intron". The record is from RNAcentral. Lineage: Eukaryota; Metazoa; Chordata; Mammalia; Primates; Hominidae.